AAGGAGACUGCCAGUGAUAAACUGGAGGAAGGUGGGGAUGACGUCAAGUCAUCAUGGCCCUUACGACCAGGGCUACACACGUGCUACAAUGGCGCAUACAAAGAGAAGCGACCUCGCGAGAGCAAGCGGACCUCAUAAAGUGCGUCGUAGUCCGGAUUGGAGUCUGCAACUCGACUCCAUGAAGUCGGAAUCGCUAGUAAUCGUGGAUCAGAAUGCCACGGUGAAUACGUUCCCGGGCCUUGUACACACCGCCCGUCACACCAUGGGAGUGGGUUGCAAAAGAAGUAGGUAGCUUAACCUUCGGGAGGGCGCUUACCACUUUGUGAUUCAUGACUGGGGUGAAGUCGUAACAAGGUAACCGUAGGGGAACCUGCGGUUGGAUCAC
RNAcentral lists this ribosomal RNA (385 nucleotides) under Escherichia coli. Its description in RNAcentral is "bacterial SSU rRNA". It matches the Rfam family "Bacterial small subunit ribosomal RNA", at positions 1142 to 1526 of the family's 1533-position model. Lineage: Bacteria; Pseudomonadati; Pseudomonadota; Gammaproteobacteria; Enterobacterales; Enterobacteriaceae. The record is from RNAcentral.